Molecule: long non-coding RNA, 261 nt
Filed under: Gossypium barbadense (sea-island cotton)
Lineage: Eukaryota; Viridiplantae; Streptophyta; Magnoliopsida; Malvales; Malvaceae
Description: long non-coding RNA (GBAR_LNC006031)
Source: RNAcentral
AUAGCUCGAUUUUCUUUGUAUAAAUUUAAGGUAAGUUCGUAUGUUAAUAAGCAUUAAUGUAAUUGUGUUUUAAAUGCUUUUUAAUUGCAUUAUUGAUUAAUACGACUUCACAAAAAUAUUCGACAAAGAUUUGGCGACGUGUGAAAUCCUGGUUGAACCAUAGGAAUAGAUACGAUACAAAUGACAUGCCAUUAAGGGUUAUUGUGUUUUGGGUGCUGGUUCGUACGUUCUAUCGGUGCUUGAUGGAAUGUGUUGCGGUUA